GCGAAUAUAACUUAGUGGUUAAAGUGCCGGAUUGUGGUUCUGGAUAGGUGGGUUCGAUUCCCACUAUUCGCC
RNAcentral lists this transfer RNA (72 nucleotides) under Ostreobium quekettii. RNAcentral's name for it is "tRNA-His". It matches the Rfam family "tRNA". From Rfam's summary of the family: Transfer RNA (tRNA) molecules are approximately 80 nucleotides in length. Their secondary structure includes four short double-helical elements and three loops (D, anti-codon, and T loops). Lineage: Eukaryota; Viridiplantae; Chlorophyta; Ulvophyceae; Bryopsidales; Ostreobiaceae. The record is from RNAcentral.